CUACCGGGUGACCGGAUGCCGAUCUCGAAAACCUGUCCCAGUUCGGACUGGAGUCUGCAACCCGACUCCACGAAGUUGGAUUCGCUAGUAAUCGCGCAUCAGCCAUGGCGCGGUGAAUACGUUCCCGGGCCUUGUACACACCGCCCGUCAAGCCAUGGGAGCCGGGGGCGCCUGAAGUCCGGGACCGCGAGGACCGGCCUAGGGCGAAACUGGUGACUGGGGCUAAGUCGUAACAAGGUAUC
This 242-nucleotide ribosomal RNA is filed under the name uncultured bacterium. RNAcentral's name for it is "partial 16S ribosomal RNA". It matches the Rfam family "Bacterial small subunit ribosomal RNA", at positions 1250 to 1500 of the family's 1533-position model. The record is from RNAcentral.